AACUUUCAACAAUGGAUCUCUUGGCUCUCGCAUCGAUGAAGAACGAAGCGAAUGCGAUAAGUAAUGUGAAUUGCAGAAUUCAGUGAAUCAUCGAAUCUUUGAACGCACCUUGCGCUCCUUGGUAUUCCGAGGAGCAUGCCUGUUUGAGUGUCAUUAAAUUCUCAACCUUAUCAGUUUAUUUCUGAUAGUGGCUUGGAUGUGGGGGUUUUCUUGCUGGCUGAGGUCAGCUCCCCUUAAAUGCAUUAGCUGGUGCCCCGUGUGGACUGUCUAUUGGUGUGAUAAUUAUCUACGCCAUGGAUGGUCUGCAAGCGCACUGCUUCUAACCGUCUGUUAAUUCGGACAAUACAAUGACAAUUUGACCUCAAAUCAGGUAGGACUACCCGCUGAACUUAAGCAUAUCAAUAAGCGGAGGCU
This 414-nucleotide unclassified non-coding RNA is filed under the name uncultured Hymenogaster. Its description in RNAcentral is "sequence contains ITS2". The stretch from base 1 to 153 matches the Rfam family "5.8S ribosomal RNA". Lineage: Eukaryota; Fungi; Basidiomycota; Agaricomycetes; Agaricales; Hymenogastraceae. The record is from RNAcentral.